UACGGAGGGUGCGAGCGUUGUCCGGAUUUAUUGGGUUUAAAGGGUGCGUAGGUGGGCAGGUAAGUCAGUGGUGAAAUCUCUGGGCUUAACCCGGAACUGCCGUUGAUACUAUCUGUCUUGAAUAUAGUGGAGGUGAGCGGAAUAUGUCAUGUAGCGGUGAAAUGCUUAGAUAUGACAUAGAACAUCGAUUGCGAAGGCAGCUCGCUACACUAUGAUUGACACUGAGGCACGAAAGCGUGGGGAUCAAACAGG
This 252-nucleotide ribosomal RNA is filed under the name uncultured bacterium. RNAcentral's name for it is "partial 16S ribosomal RNA". It matches the Rfam family "Bacterial small subunit ribosomal RNA", at positions 524 to 776 of the family's 1533-position model. The record is from RNAcentral.